This 382-nucleotide unclassified non-coding RNA is filed under the name soil metagenome. Its description in RNAcentral is "partial contains 5.8S ribosomal RNA, internal transcribed spacer 2, and large subunit ribosomal RNA". The stretch from base 3 to 121 matches the Rfam family "5.8S ribosomal RNA", at positions 36 to 154 of the family's 154-position model. The record is from RNAcentral.
GAAUGAAGAACGUAGCGAAAUGCGAUAAAUAAUAUGAAUUGCAGAAUUCAGCGAAUCAUCGAGUUUUUGAACGCACAUUGCGCCCUCUGGUAUUCCGGAGGGCAUGUCCGACCGAGCGUCGCGUCACCGCUCAAGCCCUCGGGCUUGGUGUUGGGGCUCGCGGGUGCCCUCGCGCCCCGUGGCCCUCAAAUGCAGUGGCGGUCCCUCCGCGGGUCUCUCCCUAGCGCAGUAAAAGCAUUUAAGCUGUCGUUUCGGAGCCCGGAGGUGGCUUGCCGUAAAACCCCAACCGACGGGGCAGUCCUUCGGGCUGCUCCCAUCACCAGGUUGGCCUCGGGUCGGACAAGAUUACCCGCUGAACUUAAGCAUAUCAAUAAGCGGAGGA